GGUUAAGCGACUAAGCGUACACGGUGGAUGCCCUGGCAGUCAGAGGCGAUGAAGGACGUGCUAAUCUGCGAAAAGCGCCGGCGAGGUGAUAUGAACCUUUGACCCGGCGAUGUCCGAAUGGGGAAACCCAGUGUGUUCCGACACACUAUCGUUAACUGAAUACAUAGGUUAACGAGGCGAACCGGGGGAACUGAAACAUCUAAGUACCCCGAGGAAAAGAAAUCAACCGAGAUUCCCCCAGUAGCGGCGAGCGAACGGGGAGCAGCCCAGAGUCUGAAUCAGCUUGUGUGUUAGUGGAAGCGUCUGGAAAGUCGCACGGUACAGGGUGACAGUCCCGUACACGAAAGCACACAGGUUGUGAACUCAAAGAGUAGGGCGGGACACGUGGUAUCCUGUCUGAAUAUGGGGGGACCAUCCUCCAAGGCUAAAUACUCCUGACUGACCGAUAGUGAACCAGUACCGUGAGGGAAAGGCGAAAAGAACCCCGGCGAGGGGAGUGAAAUAGAACCUGAAACCGUGUACGUACAAGCAGUGGGAGCACCUUCGUGGUGUGACUGCGUACCUUUUGUAUAAUGGGUCAGCGACUUAUAUUCUGUAGCAAGGUUAACCGUAUAGGGGAGCCGAAGGGAAACCGAGUCUUAACUGGGCGUUAAGUUGCAGGGUAUAGACCCGAAACCCGGUGAUCUAGCCAUGGGCAGGUUGAAGGUUGGGUAACACUAACUGGAGGACCGAACCGACUAAUGUUGAAAAAUUAGCGGAUGACUUGUGGCUGGGGGUGAAAGGCCAAUCAAACCGGGAGAUAGCUGGUUCUCCCCGAAAGCUAUUUAGGUAGCGCCUCGUGAACUCAUCUUCGGGGGUAGAGCACUGUUUCGGCUAGGGGGCCAUCCCGGCUUACCAACCCGAUGCAAACUACGAAUACCGAAGAAUGUUAUCACGGGAGACACACGGCGGGUGCUAACGUCCGUCGUGAAGAGGGAAACAACCCAGACCGCCAGCUAAGGUCCCAAAGUCAUGGUUAAGUGGGAAACGAUGUGGGAAGGCACAGACAGCCAGGAUGUUGGCUUAGAAGCAGCCAUCAUUUAAAGAAAGCGUAAUAGCUCACUGGUCGAGUCGGCCUGCGCGGAAGAUGUAACGGGGCUAAACCAUGCACCGAAGCUGCGGCAGCGACACUAUGUGUUGUUGGGUAGGGGAGCGUUCUGUAAGCCGUUGAAGGUGGCCUGUGAGGGUUGCUGGAGGUAUCAGAAGUGCGAAUGCUGACAUAAGUAACGAUAAAGCGGGUGAAAAGCCCGCUCGCCGGAAGACCAAGGGUUCCUGUCCAACGUUAAUCGGGGCAGGGUGAGUCGACCCCUAAGGCGAGGCCGAAAGGCGUAGUCGAUGGGAAACAGGUUAAUAUUCCUGUACUUGGUGUUACUGCGAAGGGGGGACGGAGAAGGCUAUGUUAGCCGGGCGACGGUUGUCCCGGUUUAAGCAUGUAGGCGGAACGAUUAGGUAAAUCCGGUCGUUUUUUAACGCUGAGGUGUGAUGACGAGGCACUACGGUGCUGAAGUAACAAAUGCCCUGCUUCCAGGAAAAGCCUCUAAGCAUCAGGUAACAUCAAAUCGUACCCCAAACCGACACAGGUGGUCAGGUAGAGAAUACCAAGGCGCUUGAGAGAACUCGGGUGAAGGAACUAGGCAAAAUGGUGCCGUAACUUCGGGAGAAGGCACGCUGAUAUGUAGGUGAAGCCCCUGCGGGUGGAGCUGAAAUCAGUCGAAGAUACCAGCUGGCUGCAACUGUUUAUUAAAAACACAGCACUGUGCAAACACGAAAGUGGACGUAUACGGUGUGACGCCUGCCCGGUGCCGGAAGGUUAAUUGAUGGGGUUAGCGGCAACGCGAAGCUCUUGAUCGAAGCCCCGGUAAACGGCGGCCGUAACUAUAACGGUCCUAAGGUAGCGAAAUUCCUUGUCGGGUAAGUUCCGACCUGCACGAAUGGCGUAAUGAUGGCCAGGCUGUCUCCACCCGAGACUCAGUGAAAUUGAACUCGCUGUGAAGAUGCAGUGUACCCGCGGCAAGACGGAAAGACCCCGUGAACCUUUACUAUAGCUUGACACUGAACACUGGUCCUUGAUGUGUAGGAUAGGUGGGAGGCUUUGAAGUGUGGACGCCAGUCUGCAUGGAGCCGUCCUUGAAAUACCACCCUUUAAUGGCUGGUGUUCUAACGUAGACCCGUAAUCCGGGUUGCGGACAGUGUCUGGUGGGUAGUUUGACUGGGGCGGUCUCCUCCCAAAGAGUAACGGAGGAGCACGAAGGUUAGCUAAUCCUGGUCGGACAUCAGGAGGUUAGUGCAAUGGCAUAAGCUAGCUUGACUGCGAGAGUGACGGCUCGAGCAGGUGCGAAAGCAGGUCAUAGUGAUCCGGUGGUUCUGAAUGGAAGGGCCAUCGCUCAACGGAUAAAAGGUACUCCGGGGAUAACAGGCUGAUACCGCCCAAGAGUUCAUAUCGACGGCGGUGUUUGGCACCUCGAUGUCGGCUCAUCACAUCCUGGGGCUGAAGUAGGUCCCAAGGGUAUGGCUGUUCGCCAUUUAAAGUGGUACGCGAGCUGGGUUUAGAACGUCGUGAGACAGUUCGGUCCCUAUCUGCCGUGGGCGCUGGAGAAUUGAGGGGGGCUGCUCCUAGUACGAGAGGACCGGAGUGGACGCAUCACUGGUGUUCGGGUUGUCAUGCCAAUGGCACUGCCCGGUAGCUAAAUGCGGAAAAGAUAAGUGCUGAAAGCAUCUAAGCACGAAACUUGCCCCGAGAUGAGUUCUCCCUGAGACUUUAAGUCUCCUGAAGGAACGUUGAAGACGACGACGUUGAUAGGUCGGGUGUGUAAGCGCAGCGAUGCGUUGAGCUAACCGAUACUAAUGAACCGUGAGGCUUAACCUU
This 2905-nucleotide ribosomal RNA is filed under the name Enterobacter roggenkampii. RNAcentral's name for it is "23S ribosomal RNA". It matches the Rfam family "Bacterial large subunit ribosomal RNA". The record is from RNAcentral. Lineage: Bacteria; Pseudomonadati; Pseudomonadota; Gammaproteobacteria; Enterobacterales; Enterobacteriaceae.